GUGGGGAAUCUUCCGCAAUGGACGAAAGUCUGACGGAGCAACGCCGCGUGAGUGAUGAAGGUCUUCGGAUUGUAAAGCUCUGUUAAUCGGGACGAAAGAGCCUAGUGUGAAUAAUGCUAGGAAGUGACGGUACCGGAAUAGAAAGCCACGGCUAACUACGUGCCAGCAGCCGCGGUAAUACGUAGGUGGCAAGCGUUGUCCGGAAUUAUUGGGCGUAAAGCGCGCGCAGGCGGAUCUGCCAGUCUGUCUUAAAAGUUCGGGGCUUAACCCCGUGAUGGGAUGGAAACUACAGGUCUAGAGUAUCGGAGAGGAAAGUGGAAUUCCUAGUGUAGCGGUGAAAUGCGUAGAUAUUAGGAAGAACACCAGUGGCGAAGGCGACUUUCUGGACGAAAACUGACGCUGAGGCGCGAAAGCCAGGGGAGCGAACGGGAUUAGAAACCCGGGUAGUCC
This 450-nucleotide ribosomal RNA is filed under the name uncultured bacterium. RNAcentral describes it as "partial 16S ribosomal RNA". It matches the Rfam family "Bacterial small subunit ribosomal RNA", at positions 354 to 796 of the family's 1533-position model. The record is from RNAcentral.